CCUUAGAGUUUGAUCCUGGCUCAGAGCGAACGCUGGCGGCAGGCUUAACACAUGCAAGUCGAGCGGGCGUAGCAAUACGUCAGCGGCAGACGGGUGAGUAACGCGUGGGAACGUACCUUUUGGUUCGGAACAACACAGGGAAACUUGUGCUAAUACCGGAUAAGCCCUUACGGGGAAAGAUUUAUCGCCGAAAGAUCGGCCCGCGUCUGAUUAGCUAGUUGGUAGGGUAAUGGCCUACCAAGGCGACGAUCAGUAGCUGGUCUGAGAGGAUGAUCAGCCACAUUGGGACUGAGACACGGCCCAAACUCCUACGGGAGGCAGCAGAAGGG
RNAcentral lists this ribosomal RNA (329 nucleotides) under uncultured Bradyrhizobium sp. RNAcentral describes it as "bacterial SSU rRNA". It matches the Rfam family "Bacterial small subunit ribosomal RNA", at positions 1 to 359 of the family's 1533-position model. The record is from RNAcentral. Lineage: Bacteria; Pseudomonadati; Pseudomonadota; Alphaproteobacteria; Hyphomicrobiales; Nitrobacteraceae.